Molecule: long non-coding RNA, 1563 nt
Organism: Seriola aureovittata
Lineage: Eukaryota; Metazoa; Chordata; Actinopteri; Carangiformes; Carangidae
Exons: 2
Source: RefSeq, a predicted model, not a curated record
AUUCAGCGAGCCAGUGCUGGGGCUACAGCUUCGCUCUGGUUGCCUGGUGAGAUGAAUAAGAGCUAGUGAGAACGCUGAACAGGAGGAACCAGGACCAGGGGACAGAGCUGUCCUCUCUCCUCACCUACUCCGAGGAUAUGCCCCACUGUCAACACCAAUAGCCUGAAGGCUGUGGAAGACUGUGGUGUGCGUAUGUGGUGGAGCUGAGGAACCGGCAGGUCAGGAACGACGUCUGUGUCCUGUCACAUUUUUGUGCUAUGUGCUGUUUCUGCUCAGGUCACACAACCUGCUGGGCCACGACCAGCAGAGGGUGGAGUUUGUGUUCGUCACCAUACACCAGAGCAGACCGAACACAGUUCAGGUCUCCUAUGAAGAGGGAGGAGUUCACUCCAGGGGUGGAGACUGUGAAGAGAGACACCACCCGCCGACUCUUGCCCAGUGGCCAGAUUGCUGCCACCUGUUUGAACCUGUCAUGAAGAACUACAGGAACAUUCGGACCUGUGGGGCAGUUAUGCAGCAGACCACCCUGCAGCCGGUGGACCUGAGCCACACCACACCAAGAGGGUGUAGGGGCAGGACGACACGGUGGUGAUGCACCACCACUUGUCUGUGGCAGCUGAUCCUCUACCCCCUGCUUAUGUGUGUGCCCCCCCCCCCCUGUUUGCACUGCCCAGCUGAGCCCUGCUCACCAGUACCGCCUGCCCGGCAGAACUGUGGGCCAGCGCAGGUGGGAAGAAAGGUGUCGCCCAUUGACAACACCAUCGGAAAUGAAGCUGCAUCCUCCGUGGCAGCUCCUCCAUGCUCCGCCCUCGGGCCCUCAGCUGGUGAUGCUGGCUCCAGUGGCCCCUCAGGCCCUGGGUGUCGGCCUCUGCUCCGCCCCUCCUCCUGUUCUGGUACCGCACAACAGAUGCAAGAAGCAGUUCAGGACAGACCCAAUACAAGGCCAUUGUGUCUCUGUAGAGACAGUUCUCAAGGAGCAGGAUUGUCAACCCUCCUCCCAGAGACAUGGACACUUUCAGUUCUGUAUGUAGUCUUGUAUAUUCAUUCAUUCAUUCAUUUUCUACCGCUUAUCCUCUAGUAGGGUCGCGGGGGGGCUGGAGCCUAUCCCAGCAUCUUUUCGGGCGAGAGGCGGGGUACACCCUGGACAGGUCGCCAGUCCAUCGCAGGGCAAACACAUAGAGACAGACAACCAUUCACACUCACAGCCACACCUAUGGUCAAUUUAGAGUAUCCGAUUAGCCUAGUCCCCAUUUUUGCAUGUCCUUGGACUGUGGGAGGAAGCCGGAGAACCCGGAGAGAACCCACACUGGCACGGGGAGAACAUGCAAACUCCACACAGAAAAAUCCCACGGCCGAGCCGGGACUCGAACCCAGAACCUUCUUGCUGUGAGGCGACAGCGCUAACCACUGCACCACCGUGUAGCCCAGUCUUGUAUAUGUUCUCUGUUAUUGUCUAUAGUUUCUGUAGAGAAAAUUGUACUGUAGAAAAAUGGAAUUAAAUAUAACAUUGUUGUUACUUGUGUUUGUUACUUUCAGUUGAAUAAAAUUUGAGUGAAACUUUUA